CCGAUAAACAGGAAGUCGACAGUCAAACAGUGCGAAGGGUUCUUGAGUUUGCUUAAAAACAUAAUAUUUUCGUGGUAAAUUACCAAUCUUUUUCACAUAAAGAAACUGGGAAUUUGUUCUUGUGUUAUAGGAAUUAACCAUGACUAAUGCGGGGUUGAUUAUAUUGGUUGUGGUCGCGCCAUUCAUCGUUUUUGUCAAGUGUCAAGAAAGAUGUUUAAGAUCGGAAGACUGUUGGGAAGGUUGUUGCGUUAACGCAACAUGCAAAGGAGACGGCUUUUAAUAUGAAUGCAGUGAUCAAUGCAUAUAUGAUGACUCGGAAUGUGCAGAUGGCUGUUGUAUCGGUUUCAGAUGUAAACCAAAGACAAGCUACCAGUGUAGAAAGAAACAAAUAAACGAAUGCACUACAAACUCGGACUGUGAUAGUGGAUCUUGUUUCCAUUUCUCACUUCCUACUUUCAACGUGAAAGAUAUUUUGGACACAUGCUCUACUUCCAAUGAUUGUUUUUCAACUGACAAGGGUUGCUGUGUGGACGGAUAUUGUCGUAUUUGUACUCAAAGUAAAUAUACUUCUAUAUUGACUGACCACUUAUAUCAUGAAAUGUUUGUGGUAGUUCAAAGCUGUGUAUCCACUGCGAGUCUUGGCCUUGUCUGAGCCAAGCCAAAGUAACUGUGUCACAUUUACACUGUUUACCACAAGUAUUGGUUUAGGCCAGGUCGAGGACAACGAUCGCAGUAGGCCAAGAUAUCGUGGCCUACUAUAGGUCAGGCCUAUACUGUACUGGGCCAAAGCUAGUAUCCACAGCAAAACUUUCGACCAAAGGCUAGGCUCAGACUAGACCAAGGCUCGCAGUGUAAGUACGGCUAAAGGGUAUUGGUACACAGUGGUUAAGUGUAUUGCUUUUCACCAUUACGUAUGGUUCAAGUUCCAACAAUAUGCAAUUUACUUCAGUAGCACAUGGAAGAGUAAUCCGGUUUCAGUCUACUAGACACGACAGGUUUUCAUCAGCUAGCAAUUAUAGCAACACAGUUUGAAUUAACCAAACACAAGGAGAAGAAAAUGUCAAUACAAGAGAAAGUGUGCAACAAGGCCCCACAAUGGGACCACCACCCGCCUAUUCCCCACGUCCUGCAGUCAAGUCAAGCAAGAACAACAAUUCAGCUCAAGAAGACUAAACCCAAAAUGAAUGGUGUACACACGCAAAAAUCUCACAAACAAGCCGUUAACAAGUUGUGUUCGUACUGCUUGUUCCAAGUUGUCAACAGGUGUGGAACAACUUGUUAACAGUUAUAACAAUCUUGUUCAUAUUAUCAGAUUUGUUGAAAGGUUGUUCCAACAAGUCCGAUACAGUCAUAAUAUAAGUUCAAUAUAAAGUUAUAACAAUAUUGUUACAACCUUGUAACAUUCUUGUUAUAUCAUGAUUGCAUCAGACUUGUCAGAACAACUUUGUAACAAGUCUGAUAAUGCCAUCAAACUUGUUACAAGUUGUUAACAGCUUGUUCCAAACUUGUCACAACAACUGGAAACAAGCAGUGCGAACAGACUGCGACAGCUUGUGAACAGAUUUGUAACAACUUGUUUGCAAACCUGUAACAACUUCUGCGUUUUUACGUGUGUACCACAUAGCUCCACAAUGCGACCGUUUAUUUUAGGAAGUACCAAUUGUGAUCAGUCGUACGGAAAAUCUUUUACAGUUUCAACAAUUAAAUUUUGGAACAGUCUCCCAGCUGAGUUUAAAGAUCUAUAUCAAGACAGCUAUGAAAGUCUAUUAUAUAUUUUAAAGAUAUGUAGGACUAUUCUUAGCUUUCAAUUUUAGGACUGUAGCUUAAACACUUCUAUCCUUGUUCUGUGUAAUUUGAUCUUAGUUUUAAUGUAGGGAGGCACACUGGUUAGUCAGCUUUUAGCUGUUCUAUGUAAGCCUCUUAAAUAAAGUUAAAAUCAAUGGUGAUCCACAGGGAAACACAAUGGACCCUUUCUUAUUUAGAUCAGUAAAGUGUGGCUUAAGUAGAUACAAUAGUGAUGAAUCAGUGACAUCAUGUGACAUGCAUGCAUAUACACACACAGUUGAUAUCAGUAGACUUUCUAAAGAAUUCUUUAUUAUUAAUAGUUAUGUAGGAACUCUAAUAGAUUGUAUUAAGUUCUUGUUUCUAUUUCUAUAUGCGAUGUUUCCAAUAAAUAGCUAAGAAGUAAGGCUAUCAAAUUCUUUCUUCAAAACGAUUAUUGCAUGAUUAUUAUACUAGAAUAUUUGAAAUUAUUUGUAGUCUUGCUUUUUCUUGUUUCGAACUUGUUCCCGCUCAUAAUUAGUUUUAGAUAAGGCCAAUUAAAAAAAAAUACUUGGUUAGCGUCACACUCUCACAAAUUUUCAAAGGCGGAAAGGCGUUUUUUUUUAAUUCUUUACUCGUUUUUAAUUUUUUAAAAGUAUUUUUUGGGGCGAUGGGGGCGGUUUUUCCACCAUAUCGGUGAUAUUUUUUGUACUGAUGUUGCGAAGGGCGCCAUUUUGAUAUAAGAACCUUGUAUAUCCAAGACCACGCGCUCCUAUCGAUCAGUAUAUAGCGCGAAGGUCUGGGCAUGAGAAAAAAUUCAAAUAUUAAACUGCUUUAAGCUGUAAAACGAAGAGAUCUACAUAAAAAAAUUUAAAAAAAAAUUCAGAGGCUGCAGAAAUCGAGAGGCGGGCGGUGACGCUAACCAUUUUUUUUUUUUAUUUGCCCUAAUGUUAUUCUAUAGUUUCACAUUAAUAAUUUC
Paramuricea clavata is the source of this 2740-nucleotide non-coding RNA. The record is from the annotation of a GenBank genome assembly. Lineage: Eukaryota; Metazoa; Cnidaria; Anthozoa; Malacalcyonacea; Plexauridae.